UGUAUUGCUGCUAGGUUUUGUUAUCACUAUUCAGAAGCCAACGGAAAUUUGCCAAGUGUCAUGCAAAAACCAAUCAUGCAUCAGUGCACGUGUAAGCGAUGACAUAAGCAGCCUCGCACGUGUAAGCGAUGACACAAGCAACCUCGCACGUGUAAGCGAUGACACAAGCAGUCUAGCACGUGUAAGCGAUGACAUAAGCGGACCAAUCAGGCUGUGACAUGUGUCACCAAUCAAGCUCUGCCACGUGUCGUUCACCCACCCCCAAACUCCUAUAAAUAAAAGCCUUCUUAAGACAUUUAGGAGACCAGGAUUCAGAGGACCAAGAUUCAGGGGACCAAGAUUCAGAAGGACCAAGAUUCAGGAAGACCCGAAUUCAGAAGUGAAAAAGCUCUGCUGGAAUCAAGCCAUGAAGCCUCCAGGAACUUCAAGAACUUCAACCCCAAAAUCGGAGAACAUUCGAAGCAGAAUCAUCCAAACCAUCUGCCUAGAUCCAAAAAUUUGCGGGAAUCAAGCUUAAAGGUCCGAAAACAUCAACAAAUCACAAAUUAGUGAAGCUCUACGGAUUCAAGUCUCUAAAGCCCCGAAGAACUUCCACCAUAAACCCUCAAAUACGAAGAACAUUCGAAGAGGAAUCAUCCAAAUCAUAUUCCUAGAUCUCAAAGUUCACUGGAAUCAAGCUCAAAAGCCUCCAGAAACCUCAAACAACCACAAAGCAGUGAAUCUCCACGGAUUCAAGCCUCUAAAGCCCCGGAGAACUUCCACCACAAACCUUCGAAGACGAAGAACACACGAAGAACACGAAGAACGUGAAGAACAAAGGAUUUCUAACAAGCUCAUAGCCAAAGAUUCAUUGUAAUUCUAUUCCAAAGAUCUUCGAUCCAUUCUUCAGCCAAAUUGAAGUACAUUGGGUGUUCGAGUCAAAAUCACAUUACUACAAAUCCAAUCAACAAAUCUUUGAAGGAGAUCGAAUCAGAGGAUCAAUCUUUUGUAAUCACAGAGAAUUGUACCACACAAUCAUAAAUACAAAUUCGCAUUUGUGAAACUA
Molecule: long non-coding RNA, 1045 nt
Organism: Quercus robur (English oak)
Lineage: Eukaryota; Viridiplantae; Streptophyta; Magnoliopsida; Fagales; Fagaceae
Exons: 2
Source: RefSeq, a predicted model, not a curated record